AUGCCUAGAUCCAGCGGUGUGGGAUUUCGAAUCUGUUCCCCAGCCACCAUGGAGGAACGGAGGGGGAGAUUCCUGAACUUAACCACCCUUCGUCAAAGGGGGAGUGAGGUGGGUGGCCUGGCGCAAUUGUUUUGGACCAUGGCAGUCGGGUUAGGUUAUAAUGAUGCAGCACUGAAAGGCUUGUUUAAUGAUUGCCUGGAUGACCCUUUGCCUCAAUGGGAGAUGAAGGGGUUGGAGAUCCUGGACUGUUGGGGGUUUACCCAUUACCUGCGCCAUCGUGCUCAGUGGGAUGCAGCAACCACACCUGAGUCUCCAGACAAGACUGCCGCCAGCCCAGCGCCACAGCACAAGAUGGCCGCCAGCCCAGCGCCACAGCACAAGAUGGCCGCCAGCCCAGCACCAUUGCACAAGAUGGCCGAAUCUACACCUGUGUUGCCAGACAAGAUGGCUGACUCAACGCCUGAGUCUUCCGUCAAGGUGCCACCGACUCGCCAUCAUAAAGGGCGGAGGAGGAGGAGACAGGCGUCUACCGUUCCUCAAAGCCCAGAGGACGUUCCCGAGCGGGCCGCUGCCGUCCCCGAGGCGGUGUCCGAUGCGGUGCCCGAUACCGUUCCGGGGGCCGAGGCGGUGCCCGAUGCCGUUCCGGGGGCCGAGGCGGUGCCCGAUGCCGUUCCCGAGGUGGUGCCCGAGCCCGAGGCCGUUCCCGAGGCGGUGUUCGAGGCCGUUCCCGAUGCCGUUCCCGAUGCCGUGACCGAGGCGGUGCCCGAGCCCGAGGCGGUUUCCGAGGCGGUUCCUGAGGUGGUUUCCGAUGCCGUGACCGAGGCGGUGCCCGAGGCCGUUCCAGAGGCGGUGCCCGAAGCCGAGGCGCCUCACGUCUCCGCAGGCCGUCCAGAGCGCCCUAACGUCUCUGCAGGCCGUCCAGAGCGCCCUCACGUCUCCGCAGGCCUUCCAGAACGCCCUCACGUCUCCGCAGGGCCUUCCAGAAUGCCUUGACGUCUCCGCAGGGCCUCCGGGAUGGCAGGUUCCGCUCUGGUUGCUCAAAUGGCGGGUUCCUCCCUGGCCGUCGGCACAACCGGAACUGACGGAUCCUCCGUGGCCACCUGAACUGCCUGGUCCCUCGUGGUCCCCUGAACUUUCGGGUCCACCCUGGCCCCCUGAACUGACUGAUCCACCUUGGCUGCCAGUGGAGCCAUCGCUGCCUGUCCCUGUUCCCCUACACGGGCCUGGCCCUCCAUGCCUCCCCCUGUUCUACCUCCACCAGUCCACCUCCCUCCUGGUCUUUUUGGUUUGUUUUUUGUGUCUGAGGAGCAUCUGGAAGCUGCUCCGUAGAGGGGGGGUAAUGUCACAUUGUCUGGUCUGUGUAUCCCUGGGUGUCCUCUAGAGGUCUCACUUCCCCUUAUCGUCACCCCACUUCAGAACUACAUUUCCCACAAGUCUUGUUGGUACUCAUCACUCCUCAUUGCACUCAGCUGUCCCUGGUCAUUAAUCAUUGCACUCAGCCAAUUCCCCGUUAGUAUUGUCAUUUCCCUGUGUAUAAAUACCCCGGUUGUUCUGUCAUUGUUACGGAGUCCUUGUUGAAUGUCACCCUGCUAUUUCGUGUUUCCUUGCCCGAGUUUGUUUCUUGUUUUGGACUGCUUACCUGGAUUUUGACCUUUGCCUGGCUGAUUAUGAGUUUUGGAUUAUCCCAAUAAAACACUGCAAUUGGAUCUACCUAUUUGUGUGCGUGUCGUGACAUGUACAGGUUUGUGUAAAAGCCUUUAAAUAUGUUGUUAAUUAACAUAUGAUUUGUGGUUACCUGGUCAUCCAAUGAUUUUAUUGCGCUGAUGUUUGCCUUAGACUCACAUUCCCUCAGCCCGAGGGCCAAUAAGUGGCUAGGUCUCUCUGAUUCUAAAUAAUAUUUUUGCCUCGUAUAUAUAAAAAAAAUUCUGCCUUCGAUUGUCAAAGUAAGUCAUAUUUCUCUUUCAAGGAGGACAAUCGUGUAGCUUGUUGACCAG
Molecule: long non-coding RNA, 1994 nt
Organism: Cyprinus carpio carpio
Lineage: Eukaryota; Metazoa; Chordata; Actinopteri; Cypriniformes; Cyprinidae
Source: Ensembl